Molecule: long non-coding RNA, 422 nt
Organism: Macrobrachium nipponense
Lineage: Eukaryota; Metazoa; Arthropoda; Malacostraca; Decapoda; Palaemonidae
Exons: 3
Source: RefSeq, a predicted model, not a curated record
AAUAGACCUUAUGCUACCAACCAAUGUUGUAAUCGUUUACAAAGACUCCCAAGACAAAACACAAAUUUUCCAGCCAAUGAAAGAAGGCUAUAGAAAAUUGUUUACAGUGGAAGGCUCUGAUUUGUUAGUUCACUGACAGAGGUCCUAGACUCCUAGGUGACACUGACAGUGUAGUUAAGACAAGGAAGUGUUCGUGAAAACAAGUUCGUGCUAAACUGAAGACACAAUUUGGGAGGAUGGCAUGCAUGCUCUGAUGUCUAACAUUUUUUGGAUUGUGGGAAGGCUUUUGGUUGGAACUUCACAUAUUACUGGUACAAUAGGACAAUUACUGACGCCAUGGUAAAAUAUGGACAUUUACCGACAUCUUUAUUAAGCCGUUCUGUCAUGUUAGAAAAAUUAUUUUAAUAAAAUUUACAAAUGUA